This 502-nucleotide ribosomal RNA is filed under the name uncultured bacterium. RNAcentral describes it as "bacterial SSU rRNA". It matches the Rfam family "Bacterial small subunit ribosomal RNA", at positions 18 to 518 of the family's 1533-position model. The record is from RNAcentral.
UCUGGCUCAGGAUGAACGCUGGCGGCGUGCCUAACACAUGCAAGUCGAACGGGGUUAAGGGAAAUUUCGGAUGGAACUUAACUAGUGGCGGACGGGUGAGUAACGCGUGGAUAACCUGCCUCACACUGGGGGAUAGCAGCUGGAAACGGCUGGUAAUACCGCAUAAGACCCCGGUGCCGCAUGGCACCGAGGUAAAGAUUUAUCGGUGUGAGAUGGAUCCGCGUCUGAUUAGCCAGUUGGCGGGUAACGGCCCACCAAAGCGACGAUCAGUAGCCGGCCUGAGAGGGUGAACGGCCACAUUGGGACUGAGACACGGCCCAAACUCCUACGGGAGGCAGCAGUGGGGAAUAUUGCACAAUGGGCGCAAGCCUGAUGCAGCCAACGCCGCGUGAGUGAAGAAGUAUUUCGGUAUGUAAAGCUCUAUCGGCAGGGAAGAAAGGCCCGAAAGGGAGAUGACGGUACCUGACUAAGAAGCCCCGGCUAACUACGUGCCAGCCGCAGC